CGGGGCUCGGGAGAGGGGCCUGGCAGGAGCGUUCGGAACCCCGGGAAGCAGAAAGGAGUGCUCCGCGUUUCCCGCGCGGGUUCUCCCGCCUCGGCUCUGAGCGGACUGGAGGGGUCAGUUGGACCACCUGCCUGCGUCGUCACGGAGGGCCCCCUGGAAAAGGCGGAGGGGCGGGGAGCUGUUGCUGCUGUGGAAAGAAUGGAUUAGGGAAAGACCAGCAUAGAAGCAGGAGACCAGUUGGGAGGCUGAUGCAGUGGUCCAGGCUUUGUGUAAGGUGCUGUGGUUACCAAGGUGAAUACCCCUAUCUGGUAGGGAAGGUGGAUGUGAACAUACGCAAAGACCGUGUGCGGCGGGGUCAGCGCUGUGACAGAGCAACCAGCGGUACUCCAGUUGGUGUUUCUCACGUCAGCCUGGUGUCCAGAGUGAGAGUAACGUGGAACAGAGCCCCCAGCUGACCUGUGACGGACACAUAGCAUGAGAAAGAAAUAAACCUUAUUUUUUUCAACUACUGAGAUUUUGGAGUUUUUUGUUCCCACAGCUUAAUUUAGGCCAUCCUGACCAACUCUAAUGCUGACUAGUUUAGAGAGGAAAGGGAUUGUUGGUUUCUUAAUCUCUGUGUCGUUGUAUAUAGCACAACAAUGUGAAUGUAUUUAAUGCCACUGAACUAUACUCUUAAAAAAGGGUAAAAUGGUCAAUUUUAUGCUAAAUAUAUUUUACCUAAAUAAAAAAAAUAUCAUCAGCAGGCAAUCAGAUGUUUAUUAGGGGCCUAGGAGGUAAUUCUAUGUAAAUGGCUUUGAUGGCCAAAAACAUAUUCUUUCUUGCAUUCAUUCGGCAAACCUUUACUGAGCACCGCCUCUGUGUCCAUCACCAUGCUA
RNAcentral lists this long non-coding RNA (875 nucleotides) under Equus asinus (donkey). Its description in RNAcentral is "lncRNA (ENSEASG00005035511.1)". The record is from RNAcentral. Lineage: Eukaryota; Metazoa; Chordata; Mammalia; Perissodactyla; Equidae.